GAUAAACGCUGGCGGCGCACCUAAGACAUGCAAGUUGAACGGACUUAAUCGAAAUAUUUAUAUUUUGAAGCGGUUAGUGGCGGACUGGUGAGUAACGCGUAAGGAACCUGCCUAUUAGAGGGGAAUAACAGUGAGAAAUCAUUGCUAAUACCGCAUAUGCCAUAGAUAUCACAUGAUAACAGUGGGAAAGGAGCAAUCCGCUAAUAGAUGGCCUUGCGUCUGAUUAGAUAGUUGGUGGGGUAACGGCCUACCAAGUCGACGAUCAGUAGCCGGACUGAGAGGUUGAACGGCCACAUUGGGACUGAGAGACGGCCCAGACACCUACGGGAGGCAGCAGUCGGGAAUAUUGCGCAAUGGAGGAAACUCUGACGCAGUGACGCCGCGUAUAGGAAGAAGGUUUUCGGAUUGUAAACUAUUGUCGUUAGGGAAGAGAAAGGACAGUACCUAAGGAGGAAGCUCCGGCUAACUACGUG
RNAcentral lists this ribosomal RNA (473 nucleotides) under uncultured bacterium. RNAcentral's name for it is "partial 16S ribosomal RNA". It matches the Rfam family "Bacterial small subunit ribosomal RNA", at positions 28 to 507 of the family's 1533-position model. The record is from RNAcentral.